CCCCCCCCGUAGGAUCCUUGAGCGGUUGCAGCGGCAGCCAACUGCUCCAUAUUUGGCUUCUAUUACACAUUUACAUACUGGAGCAAGCGAGCAAGCAAGAGAGAGAGGGAGGGAGGGAGAGAGAGGGAAAGGGGGGGUGGAGGGAGGAGGGAGAGAGGGAGGGGAGUGGAGGAGGAGGAGAGAGCAGUGUAUACCGCAGACAUCAUUUCUACUACAGUGGCAGAGACGUCCAGGACCUGUUUCACUGCAGGGGGAUAAAAAACAAGCCCUGUGGAUCAGCAACAGCAGCAGCAAGCAGCAACAGCCGCCGCAAGACAUUGUUUCUCUCCCUCUGCCCCCCUUCCCCAAGCAACCCCAGAUCCAUUUACACUUUACACUGCAUCACAAGGCAAGCCAGCAGGGUGGUCCAUUCGAACUUUGGAUUUAUUCAUGGUCUUUGUACAGCAGCCCCUUCUCCCAUCAUCACUACUGGGAAGUGUACUAUAAAUCAGUGCAUUGCUAUGCUUAGCAUUCUGUCGUGAAGGCAAAAUGAGAUCUAUCAGUCUGUGAAAACAAGCAUAUUGGAGCACAAUGAAAGAGUUUAUUCCCAGGCCUCAGGAGAAGUUCAGCUGCACCCAGUGAGAAAGAGAGCAAGAGUACACAGAGGGCUGCAUGAAUGGUCUUGAAACAUAUGUGAUUUUAGGUAAGUCUUCUGAACUGAAGGGCUUGGUGCAUAUUGGCUUUUAAUUUCAUUAACUCUUAUUUAUUUUGUGUGCCUGAACAUCUUAUUAGAGUGUGUGACUAUUUCUGUCCAACACAAGCAGUAGGAUAUUGGAGGAUUUGUUUUCUUAAUGAAAAAUCCAGGUAAUACUACCCAGUACAUGGUGUGUUUGUUUCAGAAAUUAACAAAAUGAUACUAUCUGAAUAAACUUUAUUUGUCGAUAGGGAGAAUCA
This 933-nucleotide long non-coding RNA is filed under the name Phascolarctos cinereus (koala). RNAcentral describes it as "lncRNA (ENSPCIG00000019420.2)". Lineage: Eukaryota; Metazoa; Chordata; Mammalia; Diprotodontia; Phascolarctidae. The record is from RNAcentral.